GAUGAACGCUGGCGGCGUGCCUAAUACAUGCAAGUCGAGCGAACAGACGAGGAGCUUGCUCCUCUGACGUUAGCGGCGGACGGGUGAGUAACACGUGGAUAACCUACCUAUAAGACUGGGAUAACUUCGGGAAACCGGAGCUAAUACCGGAUAAUAUAUUGAACCGCAUGGUUCAAUAGUGAAAGACGGUUUUGCUGUCACUUAUAGAUGGAUCCGCGCCGCAUUAGCUAGUUGGUAAGGUAACGGCUUACCAAGGCAACGAUGCGUAGCCGACCUGAGAGGGCGAUCAGCCACACUGGAACUGAGACACGGCCCAGACUCCUACGGGAGGCAGCAGUAGGGAAUCUUCCGCAAUGGGCGAAAGCCUGACGGAGCAACGCCGCGUGAGUGAUGAAGGUCUUCGGAUCGUAAAACGCUGUUAUUAGGGAAGAACAAAUGUGUAAGUAACUAUGCACGUCUUGACGGUACCUGAUCAGAAAGCAACGGCUAACUACGUG
This 497-nucleotide ribosomal RNA is filed under the name uncultured bacterium. RNAcentral describes it as "partial 16S ribosomal RNA". It matches the Rfam family "Bacterial small subunit ribosomal RNA", at positions 28 to 507 of the family's 1533-position model. The record is from RNAcentral.